GGCUCCGAGGGUACCCUGGUGCUAGGGGUCGUCCGUCCUCCCAGCCUGGCAGCUGGGGGUUCGUGUCUGCGCGCGUCCGCGGCGCCUAGGUGGCCUUUGCUCCUCCAGCCCCCAUUGAAGGUGCGCGUCUGUCCACGCGGGAGUGGGGUGCCCUGCUUUGAGACCCGGGGCCUGCGCGUCCUAGCUGGCAAUGCUGGGCAUCUCCCUUGCCACCCCGCCCAGUGCCCAGCGAGGCAGGGGUCAGCAGCACCAGGAGGGGCAUUUGUCUGGCAUCUUCACUGACUUGAGCAGAGGGCAGGAGCUGUUGUGGGAACCAUGAAUCAGGCAGUCUCCGGGAGACUGAAUGUGGCCACUACUGGGUUCCCACACAAUUUCCAGGCAGUAUUCCUUUCUCGGUGGGCAGAGAAGUCCCAGGAGGAAGUACAGCCUUCCUCUCUGCAGCAGCCCCAAAAGGGUGGAAAAGAUGAAGGAGGGUUGAGUCUGUUAUCUUAGAGCAGCCCCAUGUAUUUAUGUGGAAUGAGUCACUGGGCGCAACUUUCCUCCUGGUUCUAAUAGUGCUGAAGUUUCAAUGCAUGAUGUUUCCCUAUUGUUUCAAUUUUUAAUUUUCUACUACUUAUAUUUUUGUUUUCUCCUUGGUUAUAUUAUAGGACGUUUGUCUGUUGCAGUAGUUCUCAAAGUGUGGGCCAGGAACACCCUGGAGCUUCCUGAGACCCUGUGAGUUGGUGAGUUCAAAACUAAGUUCAGCACUGAGUGUUAUAUGUACUGAUGAAUCACUAAAUUCUACACCUGAAACAAAUUUUACCAUAUAUGUUAACUAACCAGAAUUUAAAUAAAAACUUGAAAAGGAAGGAAAAAAACCCAUGAGUUCAUAAUAAUAGCUUUCCCCCCCACUCGCAUUUUCUCACGAAUGUACAAUAGAGUUUUCCAGAGACUUCUGGAUGUGUAAUAUUGCAACAGAAUGAUAGUGUUAAAGAUAAACAAAAUGGACAUUGAUUAACAUGGUGAAAACAGAUUUUAUUCAGUAACUGCUGACAGUGGGGGAAAGCACUGAACCCCACUUGCAUUUGUGCAGAGGUGACUGGGCCUUUUAAAGAAGAAUAAGGGAAUCAGAAGGGGGAGAGAGCAGGACUCAUGUGGAAAACUACAAAGUGUUGGUCAGUGUAAAUAUGAUUGAGCCAGUGUGCUGUUGCCUGGUGAUUAUCAAAGUUAGGGUUCUACCCUCCCACAGAGACUAGAGACAGCAGCCCUCUCCUUUCUGACCAUUCUGUUUCAAAGGAAACUUUCCUUAAAAAAGACUCUGAGUUGUAGGAUGUACACAGACAUCUCAGACAGAAAGAAUUCAGUUCUAAGCUCUUUUUUAGUAAAUGCUAUAAGAAGAGGAGGUCAGGAGCUAUCCUUGGGUGUUCACCAGAACAAACAGCAAAUUCUCCUGGCAGCAUUUCUCAGGGAGGCAGUCAGCAGGCAUUUCACUGGGAGGAUGGUGUCUUUCUAGGGACACAGCAUUGUGCUGCUAGAAGCCAUGCCAGAGUCCAGUUGUCUCCUACUGAAGAGGUUAGGACUGAACUGAGAGUACUAAGAGUACGGAGACUCUGCAAGUCUCAAAGGCACAAGCAGCUAUGGAAACCCAACUGCCAGACAUUAAAGAGAUUUGCAAAAAUAUAAUGCAACACUAGUCACUAAUAUUUACUUGUUUUGGAAACUGUAGUUAUUUUCCAUAAAGUGGGGGUUUUGAAAAAAAAAACAAACAAAACAAAAACAAAAUGUUGUAUUUGUUUUUUAGGGCUACCAUAAAAAAGUACCACAAACUGGGUGACUUAAAUAACAAAAAUGUAUUGUCUCAAUUAUGGAGGCUACAAGAGAUCAAGGUUUUGAUAUGGUUUGGUCCUUCUGAGGGCAUGAGAGAGAUACUCUGCUCAAUCCCUCUUUUCUCAACUUCUGGUGGUUUCCCAGCAAUCUUUGGUAUCCGUUGGCUUGUAGAUCUCUGCCUUCAUCUUCAUAUGACUUCUCCCUGUGUGCACGUCUGUCUCGAAUUUUCCUCUUUUUAUAAAGACACCAGGGGCACUUGGGUGGCUCAGUCGGUUAAGCAUCCGACUUUGGCUCAGGUCAUGGUCUCAGGGCUCGUGAGUUCGAGACCUGCGUUGGGCUUUCUGCUGUCAGCACAGAGCCCACUUUGGAUCCUGUGUCCCCCUCUCUGUCCCUCCCCUGCUCAUGCUCAAGCUCUCUCUCUCUCUCUCUCAAAAAUAAAUAAACAUUGGGGUACCUGGGUGGCUCAGUCAGUUAAACAUCCUACUGACUCUUGGUUUCGGCUUAGGUUAUGAUCUCAUGGUUUGUAAGUUUGAGCCCCGCAUUGGGCUCUGUGCUGGUGGUGUGGAGCCUGCUUGGGAUUCUCUCUCUCCCUCUCUCUCUUUCUGCCCUUCCCUGAUUCCUGCUGUUUGUCUCUCUCAAAAUAAAUAACUAAAUUUUUUUUUAAAAAAAGCAUUCUCAGGGUUUCUGUGUGGCUCAGUUGGUUGAGCGUCCAACUUCAGCUCGGGUCAAGCCCCGUGGGGAGUUCAAGCACCGCGCUGGGCUCUGUGCUGACAGCUCAGAGUCUGGAGCCAGCUUUGGAUCCUCUGUCCCUUUCUCUCUCUGCCCUUCCCCUGCGCGCGCUCUCUCUCUCUCUCUCUCUCUCUCUUUCUCUCUGUCAAAAAUAAAUAAACAUUAAAAAAUUAAAAAAAAUUCUUUUGUUGAAAAUCUUUAAGAAAUAAACAUUAAAAAAAUGAAAGCAUGCUUUGAUAAUAAUUUUGUAUGUAUUCCUCUGGUUUUGAUAUGGAGUAUAUUAUUUUUUUGUCUAAACAAAAUCAGAUUAUUUUUUAUUUUACUUACUUAUUUUAUUAUUUUCCUCUUUGACCAAAUAGCUUUUGGAUGAUAAUUUAUUUUUAAUGUUUAAAAAAUUUUUAAUGUUUAUUUAUUUUUAAGAGAGAGAGAUUGAGAGAGAGAGAGCAUAAAUAGGGGAGGGGCAGAGAGAGAGGGAGACACAGAAGCUGAAGCAGGCUCCAGGCUCUGAGCUGUCAGCACAGAGACCAAUACGGAGCUUGAACUCAUGAACUGUGAGAUCAUGACCUGAGUUGAAGUCAGAUGCUCAACCAACUGAGCCACCCAGUUGCCCCCACAUCUUUCUUUUUAAAACCCUUUUAGGGGGCACCUGGGUGGCUCAGUCGGUUAAGCGUCCAACUUUGGCCCAGGUCCUGAUCUCACAGUUUGUGGAUUCAAACCCCGCAUUAGGCUGUGUGCUGAUGGCUCAAAGCCUGCAACCUGCUUCGGAUUCUGUGUCUCCUUCUCUCUCUGCCCCUCCCCCACUCACGCUCUAUCUCUCUCCUUCAAAAAUAAACAUUAAAAAAAAAAAAUCUUUUUUAAAACCCUUUUAGAGCAUUCUCACACCAUUCCUCUAUGUGCCUGAAAAUCCACUUUCUGAAGAGGGAAAAUCCACAAGUGGGAGGCCUAAAGGAGAUUGGAUGGGAGCGAUGGGGAUAUUUUGGUGGAAAGUGUCCCAGGCAGAGAUCACAGAAUAUAGCAAGACUCUAGAUGCUCAAAGAACUGUCUUGUGAAACUUAAAUAUAUGUAGGUGUAUAUCAUGUUUUCUCCUUACCUUGGCUAAUAUUUUAAACUGGGCGGCUCCACUUUAUGUCCCUUGGGCACCUCAAUAUAACCUGUCCAAAAGCAUACGUGCUGUUCUUGUGCUCCAAGCUUCCUCUUUCAUGUCACCUCAGCCUACUCAUCUUUCUAUAUCAUAAUCUGAUAUAAGAUUAAGAUUCUUUGAGAAAGAUUCCUUUCUCUCUGUUACUCCUCCGUGGGUCACUGAGGAUCCAUGGUGGAUUAAGAUAGUCCCAAAUUCUUUGUGUCUCUUCCCACCAGGAGGUGGGAUUUAUAUCCCCUCCCCCUGUCUGGGCUGCCCCUGACUGACUAUGCAAUAAAAUGUAGCAAAAGUGAUGAUGUGUGACUUCUGAGGCCAAAUCAUAAGAAGUUUUUACAGAUUCUGCCUGGGUCUCCUGGAAUGUUCAUUCUUGGGACACCCUCUCUUAGAACCCAGCCACCAUGCUGAGAGGAUCCUAGGCCACUUGAAGGGGUCGGUGCUCCAGUCAACAGUCCCAGCUGAGCUCACACCUGGCAGCCAGCGCCAGCCUUAAUCUUCACCCUGAGCCUUCAAAUGUCUCCAGCCCUGAUCGCGUUGACCUGAAACCACACAAGAGGCCCUAAGUGAAAAGAACCACCCAGCUACCCAGUCAACUUAUAGAACGGUAAGAAAUUAAAGAAAGUAUUGUUUUAAACCACUGUGUUUGGGAUGUUUGUUACAUAAUAUUAGAAAAGUGAAUCUGUGGCUUGUGGAUGUUUACCUUCCUAAAAAUCUUUCUUGCUUAUUCCUUCCUAUUAGUUCAGUCCCUCAUCGUUGCUUUUAAAAAUAUAAAACACAUGUUUUUUUUUUAAUUUUUUUUUUCAACGUUUAUUUAUUUUUGGGACAGAGAGAGACAGAGCAUUAACGGGGGAGGGGCAGAGAGAGAGGGAGACACAGAAUCGGAAACAGGCUCCAGGCUCUGAGCCAUCAGCCCAGAGCCCGACGCGGGGCUCGAACUCACGGACCGCGAGAUCGUGACCUGGCUGAAGUCGAACGCUUAACCGACUGCGCCACCCAGGCGCCCCUAUAACACAUGUUUUUAAGCAAGUAAUACAUUCUCAUGACUUGAAAUUCAGAAGGUGCACUAUGGUAUCUGGUGAGAUCUUCCUCUUUCCCUUGACUCCCACCACUGACUUCCUUACUUCUAGCAACUACUAUUUUUAGUUUCUUGUAGGUCCUUCUGGAGACACGUUAUGUAUUCACAAGUAAAUAUAUGUAAAUAUUUUUUCAUUCUCUUAUACAAGUGGUGGCUACCACGCAUUGAAUUUUACCUUCCUUUUAUUCAGUUAACAAUAUUCUAGAAAUCUUUCCAUACAAGCAUGUAAGAUCCUUCCUUAUUAUUUUUAACAACUUUAUUGAGAUAUUAGUUCCUCUUCAUCUAUUUAAAGUGGGGUCCCGGGGCGCCUGGGUGGCGCAGUCGGUUAGGCGUCCGACUUCAGCCAGGUCACGAUCUCGCGCUCUGUGAGUUCGAGCCCCGCGUCAGGCUCUGGGCUGAUGGCUCAGAGCCUGGAGCCUGUUUCUGAUUCUGUGUCUCCCUCUCUCUCUGCCCCUCCCCCGUUCAUGCUCUGUCUCUCUCUGUCCCAAAAAUAAAUAAAUGUUGGAAAAAAAAAAAAAAUUUAAAGUGGGGUCCCCAGUUGGAGCAUAGAGACUUUCUGGGGCUGAGAAAAUGACUCUUAGGUUAAGAAUCUCAGUAGACAAACUGGCCUGCAGGAGAGUGUCUGUUGAGAACCACAGAAGAAAUAGCUCAUGACAGAACAAAACAUAAAGAGAUGGAAAUUUUGAUGGAAGGUAAUAGCCUAAGUGAACAGAUCCAGAAAGCCUCAUGGGCCAAUAAUGGGACCCCAGAUGGAGAAUGGGGGACAGAGAGAGAAGCUCAUGAUCAAGGCAAUCACUGAGGAAAGUUUGUUGAUGUGAAGAAACUCUUUGUCAGUGUUGGAGAGGGCUCACCGAGUUCUUGGAAGGCGUGAUGUAUUAAACUGUUUGAAAAUCCAUUUGGUCACAAAUUGUGUGUGUGUGUGUGUGUGUGUGUGUGUGUGUGUGUGUGUGUGUAAAUACAACUAUUGUGACUGUUAUGCCAAGCUUGUUAAUCAUUUCAUGGUGAAUCACUUACCUACUUAAACAGCCAUUUUUUUUUCCUGAGAAAUAUGUUAAAGUUUCCCCAAAUGACUGUACUGUAGAUUUACCCAUUUUUCCUGGUAUUUCUACUAUUUUUCAGUAGUGCCAUUUCUAAAGGUUCAUGGUCAUUUAAAAUCUUUGUAGAUUUUACCUUUUAUUAACAUAAAAUAUCCCUCUGCAGAACAGAGAGGGUUAUUGAAUCAAGUGGUCUGAAACCCUGUAGAGCUCUUCAUACCCCAGGGUCUUUCCAGAAAUUAUACCCCUUGACACUUCUGCAUCAGUGUAUCUCCCUCACCAACCUCUGACGUAUGGGCUUUACAAUUUUAAAAGAAUCCUUGCAAAGCCAAAUGGCAUGGAACAGUGACUGGCCUUUUAAAUUUGCAUUUCCCUAGGUUAGAUCUAUGUAUCUACUUCUAGGCCAUGUUUGAAUCCUUUCUUCUAAGCACUUUGGAUUGUCUUAGCUUUACUUUUUCCAGCUAAUUUCAGACCAUUUGCUUAUUAUAUGAUCAUUCUGUGUUAGUUCAUCUAGCGCUUAUUGGGUGCCCUCUCUGUUCCAGAUUCUCUGGGGCAGACCCAGCUUGGGCCCUCUUCCUGGCAGCUAGGAACAGCUUGACCUCAUGGGAGAAAGAUGCUGGGUUUCUUUGAGCAUCUUUCUGGAGAGCUCAGCACAGCUGUGGCCAAACACCAGGAAAACUGCUGGGGGAGGCAGCCCCUUUGGAGCAGAGCAUUUCCAAGAUCAGGAUACAGUGUGACUGGAAUCCCCAGAUCUGUUAGGGAAAGGGUCCUGCUAUGAAGUGGGCAGAUGUAGAAUCCUCAAAUCUGGACCGAAGAACAAGCUGUUUUCUACCUGGGAUGGCUAGAUCUGUGACCUCAACGUGCUGCAGACAAAGGGCAAUCCCUUCCCACUCCCUCUGAGCCCGGCAAUGUGCGAAGGGUUUCCACAUGUGCAGGAGACACAGAAACCACCAUCGAGCUAUCUACAUCUUCUCCAACUCCAACUAGACAGAUUCUUACACACGAGAAUGUCUGAGAACACAGCUGGGCAUGGCUCUAUGGAGUGACACUUCAUUUUCCUCUCCAGAGAUCAUAGUUCCAGCCAAGUCUUGACCACUAACUCACUCUUUGUUCCUGAACCCCCCCCCCAACACACACACACAGGGUGACUGCUUGAUCCCCAACCCCUGAGAGAGUAAGAUUGCCAUCGCAUGUGUCAAACUCUUCUCUGGAAGUCAGGAGAUCAGUUCCAGUCUUUGCAGUAGGAAGUGAGACCUGGAUAACAUCCUUCAUCUAAGGGGAGGGAACUGAGGAACAGAGAGGUAGGCAUAAAAGUCCCUCAGGCCACACAGCAUGUUCAUUAAGGAAAACUCACCAAAUAUGACUAGUGAGUCUUUAAUCUCAUACAAUUCCUCCUCAAAUCUGCUCCUCUCUAUUUCCUUCAUCAUCCUUCCAGUGCUGGAGGUGAGGUGAGGUGAGGUGAGGUGAGGUGAGGUGAGGUGAGGUGAGGUGAGGUGAUUCUCCAGCGCUUCUACAUUGAACCAAGAAUGGCUAUUAUGUACCAGGAACUGUUUGGCAGUGAAGCAGACAACAGCCCUACGCUUAUGAACUGACAUUUUGUGUGUGUGUGGAAGGUGGGGUGGGUUAGAAUUAUUUUUUUUAAUUACAUAUUUUUUAUGUCAGAUGGUAUUAGGAUGAACUAGGUUCUGUUGAACUAACAAACAAGACCCCACUUUCAAUGGCUCAUGUCUGCUUACAGUUGAUUUACUAGUCAUGCUCUCUGUCCACUGGGGUUGGCAGUUGAGUGGGAGGGGAAAGGGGUGUUGUCCAGCUCAUCAUGGCUAUGAUGGGUGUUGCUGGUUACCAGAGCCUCCUUGUCUUGACUCCCUCUGCAUCCCCUGCAGCAACAAUCACUUGUACAGCGUGACUGAGUUUCUCUCUGUGAGAUCUGCAACCAGCCACCAGUGGUGUGGAGGAGGAGGUGACAGAUCCAAGUGUCAACUGCUGCUGCUGCUGCUGCUGAUCAACUGCUGAGAUGAUGAUGGGAGUUUAAGUUCACUGUGAUUUCCACACCGAGAAUUUGAGGACCAACAAGGAGCUCGGUGGGCUGGGGCUCAAGGAAGACACAGCUCUGGUACGUACGUGGAUGGCAAGCAGGAUUACAGGGACAAGAGGACAGAUUGUGAAAACAGAACAUGCAACCUGAAAGUGGAGCAAGGACCUAAAUAUCCAGAACUCCUCCAUCAGUUCUGUUUCUACAAGAAUGAAUAUGAAUAGUGUAAAUAAUUCUUGGGUGAUGUUAUAUACACAGAGCACAUUUGUUGACAGCCAGCUGGCAAAAUUCAUACAGCCUUAGCAUCACAUCCAUAAGAAUUAAGAUGCCAAGAGCUGAUGAUGUUGAAAGAAAAUCAGAAGCUUCCACAGCCCCCAGAAGGACAAAUGUACAAUUAGUGUAUCUCAGAGUCAUCUUAGGUCAAGAACAUUCUGCUCAUGCUAUCUUCAUUAAAUACCAUGAUGCAACAUGUCUGCAGCUGGUAAACUGGACCUGAACAUUACUAAGAAUGUUUAACAUUCUUAGUGGUGUUUAACACACCGGGGCACCUAGCUGACUUAUGGUAAAGCAUGUGACUCUUGAUGUCAGAGUUGUGAGUUCAAACCCCAUGUUAGGCAUAGAGCUUACAUUAAAAAAAAAAAAAAAAAAAGUUUAAACAUAAAUGUAUGUUUUAUGUUUAGGGUAUUUAUAGAAGAAAAAAAGACAAUAUCAUUUUUUUUGUUUUCUUAUCAAGGUACUGUGUCAUUUAAGCCUGGAACGAUCCAAAUGGGAUUUGAGUCUACAAACUGAAUCAUGGCAAGGAGUGUCAAGUCUGAGGUAUGGAGGUGUGAUUCUGAAAACCAGCCUCAAGCAGGAUUUAUAUGAACCGUGUGUUUUACCCACUUGAGCAGCCAGGGCAAUAGUCUGAACUACUAAUGGAACAGGUACUGUGAAUACGGCUAAAUAUAUUCAUGUUUGAAGAGGCAUGAGAGCUCGCACAAAGAAGACUAAUAUGGCAGCCUAGGCUCCACCUGUUACAAGUCCCGUUUUCAGGGUUGGCCUGGCCCUUGGCUGACACCUGGCAACUUGGCUUUUAGAGUUUUGUGUGUAUCCCAACUGAUAAGCAUGUCUCACUGUGCCCAGAAUAUGCAAACGAUGUGAUUUACACUGAACACCUGCUUUCCUUCUGGGAGUCUGGAAUGUGGUAUGUUUUAGACAGAAGGUGCCUACUUGCCUGGUCUUCAGUGCAUUGUGUGACCCCCUCAGAAGAGGGAGAGAGAAGAGGGAGAGAUUGCAUCACAAUCUGUCCUCUUGUCCCUGUAAUCCUGCUCGGUGUGGAAAUCACAGUGAACUUAAACUCCCAUCAUCAUCUCAGUGCAUUGUGUGACCCCCUCAGAAGAGGGGAGAAGAGAAGACAGAAAUCCUGCGCGUGGAUUUCCCCAGACUUCACCUUUCUCCUUAUGGUCCACCUGUGUGUCCUUGCUACAUCACUACAAUAAGCCUUAGCUGUGAGUAUGAGGAUAUGCUGAGUCUCAUGAAAUCGCCUGGAAAUCUCUGGAUGUGGGGAUGGUCUUGUGGCCCUCAACAGUUUCGCUGCCUAGUUGUAUCAAAAUUAUGUGUAGGAUUAUUUUGAUAUCUGUAUUCUAAAAUGGGGGAGGGGAGAAUGGAUUUCUGUUUCUCGUUAUUUUUUUUUUUUUUUAAUUUUUUUUUUCAACGUUUAUUUAUUUUUGGGACAGAGAGAGACAGAGCAUGAACGGGGGAGGGGCAGAGAGAGAGGGAGACACAGAAUCGGAAACAGGCUCCAGGCUCCGAGCCAUCAGCCCAGAGCCCGACGCGGGGCUCGAACUCCCAGACCGCGAGAUCGUGACCUGGCUGAAGUCGGACGCUUAACCGAUUGCGCCACCCAGGCGCCCCUCUGUUUCUCGUUAAAAGGAGCCUCUGGGUCACAUGUAAUAGAUGUGGUAUCUAGUGUUUUUACCAAAAAAGGAAAAAAAAGCCACAAACUUAAAUAAAACUAACAAAGAGGAAAGCGAUAUGUGGAUAUACGAUUUUGAGAUUACUAUUUACAAAAUGUUGAAAAAAAAAUAGGGGUGCCUGGCUGGCUCAGUCAGUGGGGCAUGCGACCUUAAUCUCGGGUUGUAAAUUCAAGCCCCACAUUGGGUGCAGAGAUUACUUAAAAAUCUUUAGGGGCGCCUGGGUGGCUCAGUUGGUUAAGCAUCUGACUUAGAUUCAGGUCAUGAUCUCACUGUUCAUGAAUUCAAGCCCCACAUCAGGCUCUGUGCUGACAGCUCAGAGCUUGGAGCCUGCUUCGGAUUCUGUGUCUCCCUCUCUUUCUGCCCCUACCCCGCUUGCGUUCAGUCUCUCUCUCUCAAAAAUAAACAUUAAAAAAAAUUUUUUUUUUUAAUCUUUAAAAAACAAAACAACCAAAAUGUUAAGGAAAAAAUAGAAAGUGUCCUUGAACUAUCCAGGUAUCUAGGUAUCACCUCAGCCUGACUAAGUGGACUCUCUGAAGAUGGGCCCAGGAGCCACAAUUCUAAUAGCUCCUCUCAGGUGGGUCUUAUGCAUGUUUUGAUCAGGAACCACUGACCUCUGAGUAUGAGAAUAAUUCGGGUGGAAAGGGGCUCAGGUUCUUAUUUCAGAUGAGCCCACUUCUUGGGUCCUAGGACUUGUGUGGGGGUAGAAUACCUAUGAGAGCAAGGCUGAAGCACUGGCUGCAUAUGCAGGAGCUGCACCCUUCAAUCCCCAGUCCCUCCAUCUCCUUCUUCUAAUUCCCACUGGGCUUAGUCUCCAGGCACACAUAACCACCACGUGUGGAGUCCCCACUAUGGCUUGAGGACACGGUGGCAUUGCACACUCUUCUGUACCCAAGUCUCCAGUAGCGCCUUCAUUGAAUGAGGCUGCUCUCGUGACUUGCUGAGUGCAGAAAUAUCUCAGAUGUUUUAGCCAACAGGAAUUGUCAAACGAUGUUCACUCCGCUGGGUCUGUUGGGCAGGUCCUUCCCCCCAGGCUCUGCCAUCUUCUGAGAGUUAUGCAAUAGCAGGACCAACUAUCCAAUCACAAGCAAAGUUCCCAUCUGUUCUGUCCAGGCUGCCUAGCCAAGGUGUUUUCCACCUCAACCUCAGAGUCUCAUAUGAACCACAGCAGCUAUACUACUUGAAGUGUUUUAUGAUGGAAACCAGGUAACUGCCAGAGUGACCUUGGGGGAAGCACAUUCAGUACUUGGUUACACAAAUUCACACAACUGUCUUGCCACAUCUAGUUGUCCCAGGCUAUCAGCACCUUUCCAGGUCCCCACUCUGGGGCUGCCUUCUGCUUCCUGGUGAUAAGGCUGCUAGAAAAUCAAGUCUUGAAAGACUAAGCCAUUCCCCUUUAAUUCCAGGGACUUCUAAGAAGCCAAGGAGCCUUCCUUCUUCUGGAAUGAAAUCUAAUUGCUAAACAGAAAAGUCUGACAUCUUUCUUUUUGCUCUUGCUUUUUAAAUUGUCAAUCUACUAUGACAGCAACACUGAAUCAAAAGAAGGAAAAUUGUACCUAAUCCCACAAAUCAAUUGCAGAUGUCCUCAUGUACUGUGGUUUUUGCUCACCUAUAGUUACACAUUGUUAAUAAUUUGUUACCCAAAUAAGGAAUGUACCACCAGGGAAUGAAGUACUACAGAAGGUAUAAAAUGAAAUCCGGGUCUCCUGCCCUACCCUACUCAACAGUCACAUUCCAUCAAUGACUAUUAACCAUUUCUUUCUUUUUUUAACCAUUUCUAUUCCAGUUCUUCCUGAGGCCAUCUCUAUAAUUCUGAUCUUUUAUGGCCUAUAGACUUAACUGACUUCCUGCUCUGGUAAGCAGUGUAGAUUUGGCUCAGACUGUUGCUCCUCUAUUUGCAUCUAAUUUGUCACAUUACCAUUUUGAGCCCUAGUUCUAGUCUCCUAAAUAACCUAUCGUAUUAUAUUUAAAAGUCCACUUCCUAAGAUGAGGAUACAGGGAUACUCUGUCUCCCCACUACGUCUCUUUCUCCUACUUUACAACAGCUGCAGACUGUACCAUCACUGUUAGUGCUGACAACAGUGGUGCUCUACUCCUGCCGUUAUGAAACCCUCACAUCACAGCUCUGGGUUUCUUUCUUUAAAAAAAGCAAAAAACAAACAAAAAACCCCCAGUAUCUCCUGUUUAUAUCUAUGCAAAUACUGUUCAGUGAAAGACCAAAACAAUCUGAUUAUAUAUCUCUUUCUUUUAUUCCAAUAUCAUGAGUCUUCUGCCUCUUCUAAGAAGAAAUAUUAGCAUCAGGGUCAAAUGCAUGGAUCUUAUUCAUCAUAGAUUGUAGUUGGCAAGAUCUGAAGAUCUUUCAGCUUUCCUUCCCCUUCUCUUCCCUUCUCCUUUCCUUUUCCUUCCCUUCUCCCCUUUCCUUCCUCUUUUCUUUCUUGUCCAAUAAUCUCACUUUUAAUUUCAUAGUCUAUUCUUGUUUUCAUAAUUCUCUUUUAAAAAGAGCAUCUUGGGGGCGCCUGGGUGGCGCGGUCGGUUAAGCGUCCGACUUCAGCCAGGUCACGAUCUCGCGGUCCGUGAGUUCGAGCCCCGCGUCGGGCUCUGGGCUGAUGGCUCAGAGCCUGGAGCCUGUUUCCGAUUCUGUGUCUCCCUCUCUCUCUGCCCCUCCCCCGUUCAUGCUCUGUCUCUCUCUGUCCCAAAAAUAAAUAAACGUUGAAAAAAAAAAAUUUUAAAAAAAAAUAAAAAUAAAAAGAGCAUCUUGGAUUUAUUUUUCACUUGAAAUUAUUUUUUGACCCACUCUUAGAAUAAAGCUUUUAAAUAUUUGGUUCCCUGAAUAUCUGUUCUCUUUGGGGUCGGUUUUUGUUUCAUUUUAGAUAUUUUUUAUUUUAUGUUGAAAGUUUUCAUCAUUUUUCACACCUUGGCUCCCACCCAUAGUGAAAAGACUAUCAAAGAAGAUGGGAAAUUCCAUAGGUGGGUGAGACUGGUUUAAUGGCAUGCUUUGCUAUAGGGUGAAAAGUGCAAGAAGUAGUUGUUAGGAUGAAGGUCCUUAUAAUGCCUAAACAAGGCAGCUUUUGUUCUGGAACAUAAUCCACCUAAUUCUCUAGUCCUUCAAACUGUUUCUAGCACAUAACUUUCUCCCUCCUAUAUUUUUUGCUUGCCCACAGCCAGAUACUUACUGCAAGACAAGAAAAAAGGGGGAGGAGGGAGAGGAAAUUCAGUUUCAGAACAGAUUUUUCAAUUAAUCCUGUUUUCUCCCACACCUCUCAGUGUACAGCUCUGCCAGGGGACUGUGGCCUCUACUGCAGCCCUCUUCACAGGACCCUGGCUUCAGCCUUUCCCACUCUGCAUCUCCAGCUGAUGCCCUCACAUCUGC
RNAcentral lists this long non-coding RNA (13133 nucleotides) under Lynx pardinus (Iberian lynx). The record is from RNAcentral. Lineage: Eukaryota; Metazoa; Chordata; Mammalia; Carnivora; Felidae.